UUAAGUGAAUAAGGGCGCACGGUGGAUGCCUUGGCACUAGGAGCCGAUGAAGGACGGGACUAACACCGAUAUGCUUUGGGGAGCUGUACGUAAGCUAUGAUCCAGAGAUUUCCGAAUGGGGGAACCCAACAUCUUUAAUAGGAUGUUACGAUUGUGUGAAUACAUAGCACAUUCGAGGUAGACGCAGAGAACUGAAACAUCUAAGUACCUGCAGGAAGAGAAAGAAAAUUCGAUUCCCUGAGUAGCGGCGAGCGAAACGGGAAAAGCCCAAACCAGCAAGCUUGCUUGUUGGGGUUGUAGGACUCCAAUAUGGUAGUUCUUUCAGAUAGUCGAAUGACUUGGAAAAGUCAGUCAAAGAGGGUAAAAACCCCGUAGACGAAAUGUGGAAGACACCUAGGAGGAUCCUGAGUACGGCGGAACACGAGAAAUUCCGUCGGAAUCCGGGAGGACCAUCUCCCAAGGCUAAAUACUCCCUAGUGACCGAUAGUGAACCAGUACCGUGAGGGAAAGGUGAAAAGCACCCCGGAAGGGGAGUGAAAUAGAACCUGAAACCGUGUGCCUACAACAAGUCAAAGCCCGUUAAUGGGUGAUGGCGUGCCUUUUGUAGAAUGAACCGGCGAGUUACGAUUGCAUGCGAGGUUAAGUUGAAGAGACGGAGCCGCAGCGAAAGCGAGUCUGAAUAGGGCGUUUGAGUAUGUAGUCGUAGACCCGAAACCAUGUGAUCUACCCAUGUCCAGGUUGAAGGUGCGGUAAAACGCACUGGAGGACCGAACCCACGUACGUUGAAAAGUGCGGGGAUGAGGUGUGGGUAGCGGAGAAAUUCCAAACGAACUUGGAGAUAGCUGGUUCUCUCCGAAAUAGCUUUAGGGCUAGCCUCGGAAUUGAGAAUGAUGGAGGUAGAGCACUGUUUGGACUAGGGGCCCAUCUCGGGUUACCGAAUUCAGAUAAACUCCGAAUGCCAUUCAUUCAUAUCCGGGAGUCAGACUGUGAGUGAUAAGAUCCAUAGUCGAAAGGGAAACAGCCCAGACCACCAGCUAAGGUCCCAAAAUAUAUGUUAAGUGGAAAAGGAUGUGGGGUUGCACAGACAACUAGGAUGUUAGCUUAGAAGCAGCUAUUCAUUCAAAGAGUGCGUAAUAGCUCACUAGUCGAGUGACCCUGCGCCGAAAAUGUACCGGGGCUAAACAUAUUACCGAAGCUGUGGAGUACACCUUUAGGUGUAUUGGUAGGAGAGCGUUCUAAGGGCGUCGAAGGCAGAUCGUGAGGACUGCUGGAGCGCUUAGAAGUGAGAAUGCCGGUAUGAGUAGCGAAAGACAGGUGAGAAUCCUGUCCACCGAAUGACUAAGGUUUCCUGGGGAAGGCUCGUCCGCCCAGGGUUAGUCGGGACCUAAGCCGAGGCCGACAGGCGUAGGCGAUGGAUAACAGGUUGAUAUUCCUGUACCCGUUGUUUUUGUUUGAGCAAUGGAGGGACGCAGGAGGCUAAGGAAUGCAGACGAUCGGAAAUGUCUGUCCAAGCAGUAAGUCUGAAGAGGAGUCAAAUGCUUCUUUUCUUAAGGACAAGCUGUGAUGGGGAGGGAAAUAAUAGUACCGAAGUUCCUGAUGUCACACUGCCGAGAAAAGCUUCUAGUGAGAAAACAGCGGCCCGUACCGCAAACCGACACAGGUAGUCGAGGAGAGAAUCCUAAGGUGAGCGAGAGAACUCUCGUUAAGGAACUCGGCAAAAUGACCCCGUAACUUCGGGAGAAGGGGUGCUGAUCAUACGAUCAGCCGCAGUGAAUAGGCCCAAGCGACUGUUUAUCAAAAACACAGGUCUCUGCAAAAUCGUAAGAUGAAGUAUAGGGGCUGACGCCUGCCCGGUGCUGGAAGGUUAAGAGGAGUGCUUAGCGCAAGCGAAGGUACGAAUUGAAGCCCCAGUAAACGGCGGCCGUAACUAUAACGGUCCUAAGGUAGCGAAAUUCCUUGUCGGGUAAGUUCCGACCCGCACGAAAGGCGUAACGAUUUGGGCACUGUCUCAACGAGAGACUCGGUGAAAUUUUAGUACCUGUGAAGAUGCAGGUUACCCGCGACAGGACGGAAAGACCCCAUGGAGCUUUACUGUAGUUUGAUAUUGAGUGUCUGUACCGCAUGUACAGGAUAGGUAGGAGCCGUAGAAAUCGGAACGCUAGUUUCGAUGGAGGCGCUGGUGGGAUACUACCCCUGCGUUAUGGCCACUCUAACCCGCACCACUAAUCGUGGUGGGAGACAGUGUCAGAUGGGCAGUUUGACUGGGGCGGUCGCCUCCUAAAAGGUAACGGAGGCGCCCAAAGGUUCCCUCAGAAUGGUUGGAAAUCAUUCGAAGAGUGUAAAGGCAGAAGGGAGCUUGACUGCGAGACCAACAAGUCGAGCAGGGACGAAAGUCGGGCUUAGUGAUCCGGUGGUUCCGCAUGGAAGGGCCAUCGCUCAACGGAUAAAAGCUACCCUGGGGAUAACAGGCUUAUCUCCCCCAAGAGUCCACAUCGACGGGGAGGUUUGGCACCUCGAUGUCGGCUCAUCGCAUCCUGGGG
Molecule: ribosomal RNA, 2540 nt
Filed under: human gut metagenome
Description: bacterial LSU rRNA
Rfam family: Bacterial large subunit ribosomal RNA
Source: RNAcentral